Molecule: ribosomal RNA, 451 nt
Filed under: uncultured bacterium
Lineage: Bacteria
Description: bacterial SSU rRNA
Rfam family: Bacterial small subunit ribosomal RNA
Source: RNAcentral
GUGGGGAAUAUUGGACAAUGGGGGGAACCCUGAUCCAGCCAUGCCGCGUGUGUGAAGAAGGCCUUUUGGUUGUAAAGCACUUUAAGCGAGGAGGAGGCUACCGAGAUUAAUACUCUUGGAUAGUGGACGUUACUCGCAGAAUAAGCACCGGCUAACUCUGUGCCAGCAGCCGCGGUAAUACAGAGGGUGCAAGCGUUAAUCGGAUUUACUGGGCGUAAAGCGCGCGUAGGUGGCCAAUUAAGUCAAAUGUGAAAUCCCCGAGCUUAACUUGGUAAUUGCAUUCGAUACUGGUUGGCUAGAGUAUGGGAGAGGAUGGUAGAAUUCCAGGUGUAGCGGUGAAAUGCGUAGAGAUCUGGAGGAAUACCGAUGGCGAAGGCAGCCAUCUGGCCUAAUACUGACACUGAGGUGCGAAAGCAUGGGGAGCAAACAGGAUUAGAAACCCUAGUAGUCC